AGGUCUUGCCUGCCCGGUGAUAAAUUAAACGGCCGCGGUAUCCUGACCGUGCGAAGGUAGCGCAAUCACUUGUCUUUUAAAUGGGGACCUGUAUGAAUGGCGGAACGAGGGCUUAACUGUCUCCCCUUUCAAGUCAAUGAAAUUGAUCUGCCCGUGCAGAAGCGGGCAUAUAAAUACAAGACGAGAAGACCCUUUGGAGCUUUAGAUAAAAAAUCAAUUACGUUAAGGGCACAUAAGCCAAACCAAGUAACACCUGAUUCCAUAUCUUCGGUUGGGGCGACCACGGGAGAAAACAAAGCUCCCAUGAGGACUGGGACUACAUCCUAAAACCAAGAAAGACAUUUCUAAGUCACAGAACAUCUGACCAUAAAGAUCCGGCCAUCUGCCGAUCAACGAACCGAGUUACCCUAGGGAUAACAGCGCAAUCCCCUUUAAGAGUCCAUAUCGACAAGGGGGUUUACGACCUCGAUGUUGGAUCAGGACAUCCUAUUGGUGCAGCCGCUAUUAAGGGUUCGUUUGUUCAACGAUUAAAGUCCUACGUGAUCU
RNAcentral lists this ribosomal RNA (546 nucleotides) under Trachydoras sp. 'pseudomicrostomus'. RNAcentral's name for it is "partial 16S ribosomal RNA". It matches the Rfam family "Bacterial large subunit ribosomal RNA", at positions 1850 to 2606 of the family's 2925-position model. The record is from RNAcentral. Lineage: Eukaryota; Metazoa; Chordata; Actinopteri; Siluriformes; Doradidae.